UACGGAGAGGGCUAGCGUUGUUCGGAAUUACUGGGCGUAAAGCGCGCGUAGGCGGACCUGCAAGUCGGGGGUGAAAGCCCGAGGCUCAACCUCGGAACUGCCUUCGAUACUGCGGGUCUCGAGUCCGGGAGAGGUGAGUGGAAUUCCUAGUGUAGAGGUGAAAUUCGUAGAUAUUAGGAAGAACACCAGUGGCGAAGGCGGCUCACUGGCCCGGUACUGACGCUGAGGCGCGAAAGCGUGGGGAGCAAACAGG
RNAcentral lists this ribosomal RNA (253 nucleotides) under uncultured bacterium. Its description in RNAcentral is "partial 16S ribosomal RNA". It matches the Rfam family "Bacterial small subunit ribosomal RNA", at positions 524 to 776 of the family's 1533-position model. The record is from RNAcentral.